RNAcentral lists this ribosomal RNA (1405 nucleotides) under metagenome. RNAcentral describes it as "SSU rRNA". It matches the Rfam family "Eukaryotic small subunit ribosomal RNA", at positions 370 to 1801 of the family's 1831-position model. The record is from RNAcentral.
UUAGGGUUUGACUCCGGAGAGGCAGCCUGAGAGACGGCUACCACUUCUAAGGAACGCAGCAGGCGCGCAAAUUACACAAUGACAGUAAACUGUUGAUGUAGUGACAAGAGGUAACGGGGCGGUCCUCUAUGAGGCCCGUCAUUGUAUUGAGUAAAACUCAGAAUAUUUAACGAAACCAAUUGGAGGGCAAGUCUGGUGCCAGCAGCCGCGGUAAUUCCAGCUCCAAAAGCAUAUAUUAAAGUUGUUGCGGUUAAAAAGCUCGUAGUUGGAUCCAUGACCUCGGAGGGCGGUCCCCCACUGGGUGCGUACUGCUGCUCCGAGUCCUAUCUGUCAGUUUGUCUGUGUUGCCUUUAAUCGGGUGGCACAGGUGACUGACGUGUUUACUUUGAAAAAAUUAGAGUGUUUAAAGCAGGCGUUGAAUGCCUGAAUAGUGGUGCAUGGAAUAAUGGAAUAGGAUCUCGGUUCUAUUUUGUUGGUUCAAGAGCAUGAGAAAAUGAUUAAGAGGGACAGACGGGGGCAUUUGUAUUGCUGCGUUAGAGGUGAAAUUCUUGGAUCGUAGCAAGACAAACUACUGCGAAGGCAUUUGCCAAGAAUGUUUUCAUUAAUCAAGAACGAAAGUUAGAGGUUCGAAGGCGAUCAGAUACCGCCCUAGUUCUAACCGUAAACCAUGUCGACUAGCUAUCUGUCAGCGUUAAUAAUGACCUGACAGGCAGCUUACCGGAAACGAAAGUUUCUCGAUUCCGGGGGUAGUAUGGUUGCAAAGCUGAAACUUAAAGGAAUUGACGGAAGGGCACCACCAGGAGUGGAGCCUGCGGCUUAAUUUGACCCAACACGGGAAAACUCACCCGGCCCGGACACCGUAAGGAUUGACAGAUUAAUAGCUCUUUCUCGAUUUGGUGAUUGGUGGUGCAUGGCCGUUCUUAGUUGGUGGAGCGAUUUGUCUGGUUAAUUCCGAUAACGAACGAGAUUCUAACUUACUAACUAGUUCCACGAUCCUUGUGGUCCUAAAUACUUCUUAGAGGGAAAACCGGCAUUUAGUCGAACGAGAUUGAGCAAUAACAGGUCUGUGAUGCCCUUAGAUGUCCGGGGCUGCACGCGUGCUACACUGAAGGAAUCAGCGUGUUUUUCCCUUGCCUGUAAUGGCUGGGUAACCGACUGAAUCUCCUUCGUGUUAGGGAUAGAUCAUUGAAACUAGUGAUCUUCAACUUGGAAUUCCUGGUACGUUUGAGUCAUAAGCUCAAGCAGAUUACGUCCCUGCCCUUUGUACACACCGCCCGUCGCUACUACCGACUGGCAAUAUCUUUGAGACACUUGGAGCGGCCGUGAGCUACCCUAACCGGUAACUCACGGCUGCGAAAAGGUUCGAAAAGGUUUUGCUGGAGGAAGUAAAAGUCGUAACAAGGUU